RNAcentral lists this ribosomal RNA (253 nucleotides) under uncultured bacterium. Its description in RNAcentral is "partial 16S ribosomal RNA". It matches the Rfam family "Bacterial small subunit ribosomal RNA", at positions 524 to 776 of the family's 1533-position model. The record is from RNAcentral.
UACAGAGGGUGCGAGCGUUAAUCGGAAUUACUGGGCGUAAAGCGUGCGUAGACGGUUAUUUAAGUCGGAUGUGAAAGCCCCGGGCUCAACCUGGGAAUUGCAUUCGAGACUGAAUAGCUAGGGUGCGGUAGAGGGACGCGGAAUUUCCGGUGUAGCGGUGAAAUGCGUAGAUAUCGGAAGGAACAUCAGUGGCGAAAGCGGCUUCCUGGACCAGCACCGACGUUCAGGCACGAAAGCGUGGGGAGCAAACAGG